RNAcentral lists this ribosomal RNA (620 nucleotides) under uncultured bacterium. Its description in RNAcentral is "bacterial SSU rRNA". It matches the Rfam family "Bacterial small subunit ribosomal RNA", at positions 428 to 1061 of the family's 1533-position model. The record is from RNAcentral.
AACCUCUUUCAGCGCCGAAGAAGCGAAAGUGACGGUAGGCGCAGAAGAAGCACCGGCUAACUACGUGCCAGCAGCCGCGGUAAUACGUAGGGUGCAAGCGUUGUCCGGAAUCAUUGGGCGUAAAGAGCUCGUAGGCGGUCUGUCGCGUCUGCCGUGAAAACCUGGGGCUUAACCCCGGGCCUGCAGUGGGUACGGGCAGACUAGAGUGCGGUAGGGGAGACUGGAAUUCCUGGUGUAGCGGUGAAAUGCGCAGAUAUCAGGAGGAACACCGGUGGCGAAGGCGGGUCUCUGGGCCGUAACUGACGCUGAGGAGCGAAAGCAUGGGUAGCGAACAGGAUUAGAUACCCUGGUAGUCCAUGCCGUAAACGUUGGGCGCUAGGUGUGGGGCUCAUUCCACGAGUUCCGUGCCGCAGCAAACGCAUUAAGCGCCCCGCCUGGGGAGUACGGCCGCAAGGCUAAAACUCAAAGGAAUUGACGGGGCCCCGCACAAGCGGCGGAGCAUGCGGAUUAAUUCGAUGCAACGCGAAGAACCUUACCAAGGCUUGACAUGCAGGGAAAUCUCCCAGAGAUGGGAGGUCCGCAAGGGUCCUGCACAGGUGGUGCAUGGUUGUCGUCAGCUC